AGUGAACGCUGGCGGUAGGCCUAACACAUGCAAGUCGAACGGCAGCACAGUAAGAGCCUGCUCUUACGGGUGGCGAGUGGCGGACGGGUGAGGAAUACAUCGGAAUCUACUUUUUCGUGGGGGAUAACGUAGGGAAACUUACGCUAAUACCGCAUACGACCUACGGGUGAAAGCAGGGGAUCUUCGGACCUUGCGCGAUUGAAUGAGCCGAUGUCGGAUUGGCUAGUUUGCGGGGUAAAGGCCCACCAAGGCGACGAUCCGUAGCUGGUCUGAGAGGAUGAUCAGCCACACUGGAAGUGAGACACGGUCCAGACUACUACGGGAGGGAGCAGUGGGGAAUAUUGGACAAUGGGCGCAAGCCUGAUCCAGCCAUAGCGCGUGGGUGAAGAAGGCCUUCGGGUUGUAAAGCCCUUUUGUUGGGAAAGAAAAGCAGCAGGUUAAUACCCCGCUGUUCUGACGGUACCCAAAGAAUAAGCACCGGCUAACUUCGUG
RNAcentral lists this ribosomal RNA (492 nucleotides) under uncultured bacterium. Its description in RNAcentral is "partial 16S ribosomal RNA". It matches the Rfam family "Bacterial small subunit ribosomal RNA", at positions 29 to 507 of the family's 1533-position model. The record is from RNAcentral.